Molecule: ribosomal RNA, 83 nt
Filed under: Melia azedarach (chinaberry)
Lineage: Eukaryota; Viridiplantae; Streptophyta; Magnoliopsida; Sapindales; Meliaceae
Description: partial 5.8S ribosomal RNA
Rfam family: 5.8S ribosomal RNA
About the family: 5.8S ribosomal RNA (5.8S rRNA) is a component of the large subunit of the eukaryotic ribosome. It is transcribed by RNA polymerase I as part of the 45S precursor that also contains 18S and 28S rRNA. Functionally, it is thought that 5.8S rRNA may be involved in ribosome translocation.
Source: RNAcentral
UGCAGAAUCCCGUGAACCAUCGAGUCUUUGAACGCAAGUUGCGCCCCAAGCCGUUAGGCCGAGGGCACGUCUGCCUGGGUGUC